Molecule: ribosomal RNA, 904 nt
Filed under: Listeria monocytogenes
Lineage: Bacteria; Bacillati; Bacillota; Bacilli; Caryophanales; Listeriaceae
Description: partial 23S ribosomal RNA
Rfam family: Bacterial large subunit ribosomal RNA
Source: RNAcentral
UUGGUUAAGUUAGAAAGGGCGCACGGUGGAUGCCUUGGCACUAGGAGCCGAAGAAGGACGGGACUAACACCGAUAUGCUUUGGGGAGCUGUACGUAAGCGUUGAUCCAGAGAUUUCCGAAUGGGGGAACCCACUAUCUUUAGUCGGAUAGUAUCCUUACGUGAAUACAUAGCGUGAGGAAGGCAGACCCAGGGAACUGAAACAUCUAAGUACCUGGAGGAAGAGAAAGAAAAAUCGAUUUCCUGAGUAGCGGCGAGCGAAACGGAAAGAGCCCAAACCAAGAAGCUUGCUUCUUGGGGUUGUAGGACACUCUAUACGGAGUUACAAAAGAAAGUUAUAAAUGAAGCGGUCUGGAAAGGCCCGCCAAAGACGGUAACAGCCCGGUAGUUGAAAUGGCUUUCCCUCCAGAGUGGAUCCUGAGUACGGCGGAACACGUGAAAUUCCGUCGGAAUCCGGGAGGACCAUCUCCCAAGGCUAAAUACUCCCUAGUGACCGAUAGUGAACCAGUACCGUGAGGGAAAGGUGAAAAGCACCCCGGAAGGGGAGUGAAACAGUUCCUGAAACCGUGUGCCUACAAGUAGUUAGAGCCCGUUAAUGGGUGAUAGCGUGCCUUUUGUAGAAUGAACCGGCGAGUUACGAUUUGUUGCAAGGUUAAGCGGAAAAAGCGGAGCCGUAGCGAAAGCGAGUCUGAAUAGGGCGCAUAAGUAACAGGUCGUAGACCCGAAACCAGGUGAUCUACCCAUGUCCAGGAUGAAGGUAAGGUAAUACUUACUGGAGGUCCGAACCCACGCACGUUGAAAAGUGCGGGGAUGAGGUGUGGGUAGCGGAGAAAUUCCAAUCGAACUUGGAGAUAGCUGGUUCUCUCCGAAAUAGCUUUAGGGCUAGCCUCGAGGUAAAGAGUCAUG